GAUGAACGCUGGCGGCGUGCCUAAUACAUGCAAGUCGAGCGAACAGACGAGGAGCUUGCUCCUCUGACGUUAGCGGCGGACGGGUGAGUAACACGUGGAUAACCUACCUAUAAGACUGGGAUAACUUCGGGAAACCGGAGCUAAUACCGGAUAAUAUAUUGAACCGCAUGGUUCAAUAGUGAAAGACGGUUUUGCUGUCACUUAUAGAUGGAUCCGCGCCGCAUUAGCUAGUUGGUAAGGUAACGCCUUACCAAGGCAACGAUGCGUAGCCGACCUGAGAGGGUGAUCGGCCACACUGGAACUGAGACACGGUCCAGACUCCUACGGGAGGCAGCAGUAGGGAAUCUUCCGCAAUGGGCGAAAGCCUGACGGAGCAACGCCGCGUGAGUGAUGAAGGUCUUCGGAUCGUAAAACUCUGUUAUUAGGGAAGAACAAAUGUGUAAGUAACUAUGCACGUCUUGACGGUACCUAAUCAGAAAGCCACGGGUAACUACGUG
RNAcentral lists this ribosomal RNA (497 nucleotides) under uncultured bacterium. RNAcentral describes it as "partial 16S ribosomal RNA". It matches the Rfam family "Bacterial small subunit ribosomal RNA", at positions 28 to 507 of the family's 1533-position model. The record is from RNAcentral.